UUAAAAAAUAUAAUAUCAGUUUGAUUAUUUUGAUGGCACCCUUUAGACAGCUGUUGAUAAGUAACUCUGUAACUACAUGUCAACUAGCCGUCAUGAGAGUAUUAGUAGUGUGUCUGCUGAAUAUACUGUAUGAUAACACUUUAUUUUGAUGGUUCCUCAACAGACAAACUGAGUAUAGGAUACUUUGCAAGUAUGUGAACAGUCUACCUACUAGGGUUGUCACGAUACCAUAAAAAUAUCUUACGAUACUAUACCAGCUGAAGUAUCACGAUACUAUGCAGUAUUGUGUUAAUUUAAAAUUCAAUUCUACAAAAUGAAUCAAAAUUUAAUAAAUAAAUAGAUGUAAGUGAAAACAGACAAUAUUAUUCUCUGAAUACUUAAUGUGAAUGAAUGACUGGCUAUUGUUUUCCAUGAAAUAAUCUAAACAAAACUCAUCUCAGCACUGCACAGAAGCUGCAUGAAGUGACAUUUAGAUGUGGCAUUUAUACAUAAUUGCAUAAAUAAUGUUAUGAGAUUAGUGUUUUAAAUACUAAAUUCUGAAUAUAGAAUACAUACAUAGUGUGUGUGUGAGUGAGUGAGUGAGAGAGAGAGAAAGUGACAGUUGAGAAUCAAAUUCAUGAACAUUCCGCCAUUUUAAGUCUAUGGGAUUUUCUUUGCCUGCUUUUUCGUCCGCUGUGCGAACAUCGUAGGUCCGAUCGCUUAGAAAAGAUACAGCACUCUUCUCCUCAAUGAGCCGGUCGAUUUGACACCUCAUUCAUGGGUCUGUGAUAAACGGUGAAUGAACUUAACUCAUCUUUAUUUUUUCUGUGUUUUCUCUGCAGUCUUUCCUUCUGUUAUAUUACAGAGAAAGGCUUUGCUGCUCUGAGUUCAGCUCUGAGAUCAAACCCCUCACACCUGACUGAACUGGAUCUGAGCUAUAAUACACCAGGAGACUCAGGAGUGAAGCUGCUUUCUGCUCUACUGGAGGAUCCACACUGUAAACUGAAGAAACUACAGCUGUGUUUCUGCAGUAUUGGAGAGGAAGGCUGUGCUGCUCUGAGUUCAGCUCUGAGAUCAAACUCCUCACACCUGACAGAACUGGAUCUGAGAUAUAAUAAUCCAGGAGACUCAGGAGAGAAGCUGCGCUCUGCUCUACUGGAGGAUCCACACUGUAAACUGAAGAAACUACAUAUUUGACAGGGAAACUCCACAAGCUCCAAACAAGUGAAUCAAAACAACACGUCCUGAACAAGACUGUCACCUGGACAUUAAUGCUGAUACUGAUCCAGCAGUUUCAUAUGUGAAGGGUUUUGUUAUUAAUUUUCAUUCAGCCUACAUUUUUUUCCAGUCUCAUGGGAACAUUUUUUAAAAUAAGUAGAUUGGACAUAUUAACUGCACUGUAAAUGUUUAGUGUGAAAUUACAGUAUAUUCCAGGUUAAUAACUGCAUGACUUUCACAGUAAUUUCACAGCGGGACUUCUCUUGUAUCUAACUGCACUCUCAGAAAUUUAUUGUAAACAAACAGCAUCAUACUGUGUUUCUACAGUUCAUAUGUACGAUGAAGGUUCCCAGCAUGCAAUGCAGCACGAACAGAUCAUGCUGUAGAGUUUUUAAUUCUUGUUGGUUUUAUUUAUGCUGUUGAACUUGUUUUUUUGUUUUGUUUUUUUGGUUCACUUUGAGCAGUUUGUGUUGUUGGUUUAUUUUGUAAUGUUGGUUUAUGAUGUAAGUGUUGUUUUUAUUUGUUGAGUGUUACUGUUGUUGUGAUUUGUAUGUCAAGUAUUUUUGUCACAUCUUUCAAAGACGUUUCUCAGCAGGUGGUUCAUUAUUGUGAAAAAUCCAUCCACAAAUAUUUAUGAAUAUGAAACAAGUUAUUGGUUAAUCCUUUUAAGUAAUGCUAAAAUAAAAUCUUUGUUUAUCCGAAGAAUA
This is a long non-coding RNA of Onychostoma macrolepis, 1904 nucleotides long. RefSeq lists it as uncharacterized. The transcript is spliced from 3 exons. NCBI's taxonomy places the organism in Eukaryota, Metazoa, Chordata, Actinopteri, Cypriniformes, Cyprinidae. The record is from RefSeq and is a predicted model, not a curated record.